GCCAGGCAUGGUGGUGCAUACCUGUAAUCCCAGCAACUCGGGAGGCUGAGGCAGGAGGAUCGUGAAUUCAAAGCCAGUCUCAGCAAAAGCAAGGCGCUAAGCAACUCAGUGAGACCCUGUCUCUA
RNAcentral lists this small RNA (125 nucleotides) under Marmota monax (woodchuck). Lineage: Eukaryota; Metazoa; Chordata; Mammalia; Rodentia; Sciuridae. The record is from RNAcentral.